RNAcentral lists this ribosomal RNA (467 nucleotides) under uncultured bacterium. RNAcentral's name for it is "partial 16S ribosomal RNA". It matches the Rfam family "Bacterial small subunit ribosomal RNA", at positions 28 to 506 of the family's 1533-position model. The record is from RNAcentral.
GACGAACGCUGGCGGCGUGCUUAACACAUGCAAGUCGAACGGAAAGGCCCUGCUUUUGUGGGGUGCUCGAGUGGCGAACGGGUGAGUAACACGUGAGUAACCUGCCCUUGACUUUGGGAUAACUUCAGGAAACUGGGGCUAAUACCGGAUAGGAGCUCCUGCUGCAUGGUGGGGGUUGGAACGUUUCGGCGGAUGGGGAUGGACUCGCGGCUUAUCAGCUUGUUGGUGGGGUAGUGGCUUACCAAGGCUUUGACGGGUAGCCGGCCUGAGAGGGUGACCGGGCACAUUGUGACUGGGGUGCGGCCCAGGCGCCUACGGGGGGCAGCAGUGGGGAAUAUUGCACAAUGGGCGGAGGCCGGAUGCAGCGACGCCGCGUGCGGGAUGACGGCCUUCGGGUUGUAAACCGCUUUCGCCUGUGACGAAGCGUGAGUGACGGUAAUGGGUAAAGAAGCACCGGCUAACUACGG